AACAGUGGAUGGCAGCAGAGGGCUGC
Molecule: non-coding RNA, 26 nt
Filed under: Cricetulus griseus (Chinese hamster)
Lineage: Eukaryota; Metazoa; Chordata; Mammalia; Rodentia; Cricetidae
Source: RNAcentral